RNAcentral lists this ribosomal RNA (442 nucleotides) under uncultured bacterium. Its description in RNAcentral is "partial 16S ribosomal RNA". It matches the Rfam family "Bacterial small subunit ribosomal RNA", at positions 338 to 795 of the family's 1533-position model. The record is from RNAcentral.
CCUACGGGUGGCAGCAGUGGGGAAUAUUGGUCAAUGGGCGCAAGCCUGACCCAGCAACGCCGCGUGAAGGAAGAAGGCUUUCGGGUUGUAAACUUCUUUUUGCAGGGAAGAGCAUAAGACUUUACGUGUCGCAUCAGCCACUGCUAACUACGUGACAGCAGCCGCGGGAAUACGUAGGGGGCAAGCUUUGUCCGGCUUUACGGGGUGUAAAGGGCGUGUAUGCGGGCUGACAAGUCAUGUGUGAAAUCCGGGGGCUCAACCCCCGAACUGCAUUUGAAACUGUUGGUCUGGAGUAUGGGAGAGGCAGGCGGAAUUCCUGGUGUAGCGGUGAAAUGCGUAGAUAUUAGGAGGAACACCAGUGGCGAAGGCGGCAUGCUGGACGACAACUGACGGUGAGGCGCGAAAGCGUGGGGAGCAAACAGGAUUAGAUACCCUGGUAGUC